AACGAUGUCGUGAGGAGGAAACAACGACGUUUGGAGAAGUGGAUGAGGAAACGACGUCGUUUGGAGAAAGGGUGGUAGACGGUUGGGAUGAGGUGAGGUGGACAGUCCGGAUAAGAGGCUGGUGGGGUAUAAAUAAGAGAAGAGAAAGAAAAAAAAAGAAAACGAAGAGAAAAGAAAAGAAAGAAAAUAGAGAAGAGAGAGAUCGGGGGGGAGAGAAGGUUCGAGAGAGAGAGAAAGGAGCCAGAUUGGAGAGAAACA
Molecule: long non-coding RNA, 258 nt
Filed under: Carica papaya (papaya)
Lineage: Eukaryota; Viridiplantae; Streptophyta; Magnoliopsida; Brassicales; Caricaceae
Description: long non-coding RNA (CPAP_LNC016245)
Source: RNAcentral